RNAcentral lists this unclassified non-coding RNA (238 nucleotides) under Hevea brasiliensis (rubber tree). The record is from RNAcentral. Lineage: Eukaryota; Viridiplantae; Streptophyta; Magnoliopsida; Malpighiales; Euphorbiaceae.
UUUUUUUCACAACCCAGCUAUGCAUCACGGUUCCAACGCUUUUUUAACCAAAUCCAUGCACUCAUACACUCCUUUCAGAGGAUUUAAUGUAACUUGCUGGCAGGUAGAUUUCUCCACCAACUUCACCAUGUUGUUCUCCACUAACAGUUUUCUUAGCAGCCAGGAAUUCAGCACUCAUGGCAUCCAUCCCACGCUGCACAGCUUCCUCAGCACUACCAUAACCAUGCUCCUCUGCAUA